Small RNA from Haemophilus influenzae Rd KW20, 78 nucleotides. It matches the Rfam family "Aggregatibacter sRNA 20". From Rfam's summary of the family: Validated by RT-PCR and Northern blot. The record is from Rfam. Lineage: Bacteria; Pseudomonadati; Pseudomonadota; Gammaproteobacteria; Pasteurellales; Pasteurellaceae.
AAAACAAGUGCUAUCUUAAAUAGCCGACAUCUAUUUUGCUUUCCGAGUAGUGCCCCAAUGGGGCUUUUUUUUAUUCAG